UAGUUACGCCUUCUCUCUCCCUCCUUGCGUUUUUCUUGGCUAAGACACGCCUGCUGCCUGUGCGUCCGUUGCACCUGCGCAGCUCUCGUCCAGCGUUGUCUCUCUCUCUCUCCACACCCUUCUUUCGCCGGCCUUCGUCACCGCGUUUUUCGCAUCCCGCCGGUGCCGUAAGCGUUGCCGUCGUUUUGUGAUUCGUCUUGUUACUCUGCCACCGUCCCCACGACAGCUGCACGGAGGGAAAACGGCGCACCAGGACAAAGUGCUGCGGUCUUCGACAUACGACGGAACGGCACCCGCUUGUGUAUCGCUGUGUCGCCUGCCAACCAUGCCGCGCGACGACUUUGACCGCCGCCGUCUUCGCGCUCUCUACGAACGCAACCGCCGUCGCGUUUCGGCACUGGCGGACGCCCGUGACCGCCGUCGCGGUGGCGAGGACGACUACGCUGCGCCGCGCCGCUAUGUCGUGAGCGAACGCCGGACCCGAAUCGAGGGCUUUGGCCGUGGUGGCGCUCAGGUGAGCCGCGUGGUGCGGCGCGCGCGUGGUGGCCGCGAUGAGCCGCGCUCGCGCCGGUUCAGCGACCGUGGCAUCUUCCGCCGCAACGUCCGCGAUCGCUUCCGUCGUGUUGAAGAUUUUGAGCGUGAGGAGCGCCGCGAGCGGUUCCGAGAGGUGCGUGCGAGGCGCGGCGACGGACGCCGCGUGGAGGGCCGACGCUUCGGCGAGGCGCGUCGUCUGCGCCUGCGCAUGCGUGGCACCCGCGCUGGUCGUGUUGACCACCGCCGCGCUGAGGUGGACGGGCGUCGCCAGCGCGAGGAACGCGCCAGUGACGGACGCCGCCGCCAGGAGAGUGGGCGUCGGAACAAUAACAACCAGGGCAACCGCGGCGGUAACAAGCAGAGUAGCCUGUCGCGCAACAACAAGCCUCAGCGCAGCCGCGAGCCGCAGAUCACUCGUGAGGAGUUGGACCGUCAGCUGGAGAGCUACCGUAGCUAGAGGAUGACGGACAGUGAGGGAGUGGCAAAAAAGUGGCGUCAAAGGAGCGGGGCGAGAGUAGAAGCGCGAGCCGAGGCUGGCGGUGCUGGAAAACGCGCUUCACCGCCACCGCCCUUCGACAUGGCGCCUUCGCUCUCUCUCUCUCUAUCUUGCUUCAGUCGCGGAGAGCAGUUGCUCUUCUAACAUGGGCAGGAGGCGACGGCACAGGAAAUGGGCGAGCGACGGCUGCGGCCGGGUGGCGUUCGCCUUGUUGUUUCCCACCCCCUCAUCCUCUCUCUCUCCCGGAUCGCGAGACAGCCGUUCAGAGGACCGCCUCGCUGCUCCUAUAAACGAGAAAGGAGGGUGGGUGCAUGCCUUGUUUUGUUUUCUGUUUUGUAUGUUCUUGGCCACGCACACACGCAUACGCGCGUGCCAUCACCACUGGAUGGACGAAGGCGGUGCGGCACGGGGGGAGCGUCGGUGUUGCGCGCUCCCGUGACGUCGGCUGAGCAAAGUGACGAAGGCAGUGCUCGGCCCCCACGGCCUUCUCUCAGUUGCAGGUGGGCGACGGAGCCUGCUGUUGCGUGUCGAAUCGCACGUCGCCGAAUACAUGACGAGGGGAAGGGAGCGUUGGACGCGAAGAGAAGGUGGCGGGUGGACUGGAUCGCCCACCUUCUCGAUGAAAGACAAUCGGCUGACCGGCAAAGGCAACUGAGGUCGAUUCGAGGGCUGCAGAGAGCCGAAAUAGACGUGAAGCGGGAGGAUUGCACGCGGCUCGAUGUCUUCGCUCCAAGCAGCCGCUGCUCUGUCCCCUUUCCUCUGUUGAGUAGCUUGCACGUAUAGCUCUCCCGCUAGCCACGACUUUCUCCAGCUUCGGUCUCCCUCGUUAGUUUUUCGUCCUUAAGGCUGGGCGGAUGGGUGACGAGGGUGGCGCGGGCUGGCGGCGUGCGCAUCGCUGAUGGAAGCGGCACGACGUGGCCUCGUUUCUGCGCACCCGCAGAGUUGGUGCGUGUGAUGAAAGAGCGCUGCUGCUCCAGAUCCCUCGUAGACACACCGCCAAACGGCGUGAAGACGAUCUUUCUGUCUCCCGUGCACCAGUCUGGUUCUUCCGCCACGCCCUGCUCCUCUUGUCACGGCGCAG
Molecule: unclassified non-coding RNA, 2111 nt
Filed under: Leishmania donovani
Lineage: Eukaryota; Euglenozoa; Kinetoplastea; Trypanosomatida; Trypanosomatidae
Description: gene:LdHU3.30.0170(CDS-product:hypothetical_prote in_conserved)
Source: RNAcentral